UCCGGUUUGUCACCGGCAGUCUCACUAAAGUGCUCAAGUUAAUGAUAGCAAUUAGUGACAAGGGUUGCGCUCGUUGCGGGACUUAACCCAACAUCUCACGACACGAGCUGACGACAGCCAUGCAGCACCUGUGUCUUGGUUCCCUUUCGGGCACUUCCAUGUCUCCACGGAAUUCCAAGCAUGUCAAGGGUAGGUAAGGUUUUUCGCGUUGCAUCGAAUUAAUCCACAUAAUCCACCGCUUGUGCGGGUCCCCGUCAAUUCCUUUGAGUUUUAAUCUUGCGACCGUACUCCCCAGGCGGUCAACUUCACGCGUUAGCUACGUUACCAAAUCCUUAAUUAGAUCCGACAACUAGUUGACAUCGUUUAGGGCGUGGACUAC
RNAcentral lists this unclassified non-coding RNA (379 nucleotides) under uncultured Gammaproteobacteria bacterium. RNAcentral's name for it is "contains 16S-23S intergenic spacer region". Lineage: Bacteria; Pseudomonadati; Pseudomonadota; Gammaproteobacteria. The record is from RNAcentral.